Molecule: ribosomal RNA, 329 nt
Filed under: uncultured Bacillota bacterium
Lineage: Bacteria; Bacillati; Bacillota
Description: bacterial SSU rRNA
Rfam family: Bacterial small subunit ribosomal RNA
Source: RNAcentral
GACGAACGCUGGCGGCGUGCCUAACACAUGCAAGUCGAGCGGGGGUACUGAAGAGCAAUCGGAGGUGCCCCAGCGGCGGACGGGUGAGUAACGCGUGAGCAACCUGCCUCUUACUGGGGGAUAACGCAGCGAAAGCUGCACUAAUACCGCAUGAGACCACGGCGCUGAUGGCGCAGGGGUCAAAGGAGCAAUCCGGUGAGAGAUGGGCUCGCGUCCGAUUAGGUAGUUGGUGAGGUAAAGGCCCACCAAGCCAAAGAUCGGUAGCCGGCCUGAGAGGGUGAACGGCCACAUUGGAACUGAGAGACGGUCCAAACUCCUACGGGAGGCAG